UACGUAGGGGGCAAGCGUUGUCCGGAAUCAUUGGGCGUAAAGAGCGCGUAGGCGGCCCGGUAAGUCCGCUGUAAAAGUCCAGGGCUCAACCCUGGAAAGCCGGUGGAUACUGUCGGGCUAGAGUCCGGAAGAGGCGAGUGGAAUUCCUGGUGUAGCGGUGGAAUGCGCAGAUAUCAGGAAGAACACCAAUGGCGAAAGCAGCUCUCUGGGACGGUACUGACGCUGAGACGCGAAAGCGUGGGGAGCGAACAGG
RNAcentral lists this ribosomal RNA (253 nucleotides) under uncultured bacterium. Its description in RNAcentral is "partial 16S ribosomal RNA". It matches the Rfam family "Bacterial small subunit ribosomal RNA", at positions 524 to 776 of the family's 1533-position model. The record is from RNAcentral.